GCGUGGCGGCCAUCCACCCCCCUAGCGCCCUACUAAUACACCCAGGGCGGCCCCAAACCCUAAGCUUCCCCGUUCCCCUUCCUUCCUCGCGCCCCCGUCUGCUUUUCCUCGUCGACGUCGCCGUGCCCGUGGACACCCAAAGACACCGCCCCGAACCCCCGCCGUCGUGCCCAGGAGCUACGCCGAGCUCCUCUACGUCGUCUGCGCUCUCUACUUGGAGCUCGGAUCCACCGCCUCGGCCGGAUCGAGUUCAUUUUCUUCCCUCGACCGUUGCCGCCUCUACGUCAACGCCGGCUGCUCUGCUGCUACUAAGCCACCGCCGGGCCCCCGUGUGCCUCCCCAGUGAGCUUCCGCUCCUUCUCCUCCUCCCCACGCUUCGGUUCCACCCCUCUAGCUAGCUAGCCGCCAUGAUCGUAGAUCAUCUCCGCCACGGCGCUCGUCGUCGUUGUUUCGGUCGACGUCGAGUUCGCCUGAGCCCUCGGUCGUGCUCAUCGGCGCCGUAGUAGGCCGUAGCACCAGCGCGUGCAGUCCCUGCCGUGCCUCGCCUCGUCGUAGCCGCCCGCGCCUGCUCGCGCUGGCCACGCCCCACGUGCCCCGCGACCCUUGUAGCCGUCACCACGCGCCGCCUGCGGCCGUCCCACACCCCAGCGCACGCCCUGCGCCUGCCUCCGCUCCCCGCUGCCGUUGCCCUGCUGUUUCACCGCCGCCCCUGCACUUGCUGUUGCUGCUGCUGCUGCGUUGCUACUGUGUGCGGCCACUGCUGCUGCUGCCUGCACGACCCCCACGCGAACCCAGCCGCACACGCGCGCCUGCACGCUUGCCCGCAGCCGCAGGCUGCUGCUCCCGGCCUCGCGCCCGGUUGCCGCUGCUCACUAGUGCUGCUUUGUACUGCUAGGUACUGUAGGUACUAGCUAGCUUUUCUAAUUUCACACCAAGUAACCCACUAGACAGCCCCUAAACAUCAGUUAAAUAACUGUUAACCGGAGUAAGAAUAAUAUUUGUAGGUAGUAUAAUUGUCAAAGCUCAAAUGUUUCCAUUGGACCAAAUCAAUUUGAUGCAUGGAUUAAUUCCCAUAAAAAUCACAAAAUGCUAUCUUUUCUAAACAGAGAACAGAAUUAACCCCUACCACUGUGUGUGCGUGUGUUGUGUAUGUAUGUGUGUUGUGUGUACAGCGUGCGUGUGUGGUGUGCGUGUGUGGCCGGCUGGACUCUGUCCACUAAUGGCCGGCCCUUGUUAAUUAGGCUAUGUUUAGCUUAGGAUUAGUUUAGUGCUAACUAGCCCUUUUAGCAAAUGACAAGUGGGUCCCAUCUAAAUAGAUUAGACAAAUAUUUUGGAAAUUAUUAAAUCAGUGUCAUAUGGGCCACCACCUCUCCUUUUGACUAGUCACAUUGAUUUGGUCAAUUCGGAUUUAAAUUAAACACAAAAUUCUAGAAUAUUGAUAAAACUUUGGAAAAUUAUAGAAAAUUAACCGUAACUCCGAUGGAAAAACUUUAUACAUGAAAGUUGCUUAGAACGAUGAGACGAAUCCGGAUACGCGGCCCGUUCGUCCGCCACGCAUCCCUAGCAUAGUGGACACGCAACUUCCCCCUCCGGCUCCUCUGCCCGAAAACGCGAAACACCGGGGAUAAUUUCCCGGAUGUUCCCCCCUUCACCGGUACCACCUCGUACCGCGUUAGGGCACACGUCGCAUCACGCUUUGUCAUGUCAUGCAUCGUCAUGCAUUUGUUUGCAUUAUAUUUAUUGUUUCUUCCCCCUCUUCUCUCGCUAGACACCGAGACCGACGCCGCUGCUACCCAGUACAACUACGGUGUUGACGACCACUCUCUCUUGCCAGAGCAACCAGGCAAGCCCUCCCCUUUGAUCACCAGAUAUCGCCUACUCUUCUCUCUACUGCUUGCAUUAGAGUAGUGUAGCAUGUUACUGCUUUCCGUUAAUCCUAUUCCGAUGCAUAGCCUGUCAUUGUUGCUCCAGUUGUUGAUACCUUACCUGCAAUCCUAAAUGUUUAGUAUAGGAUGCUAGUUUACCAUCGGUGGCCCUACAUUCUUGUCUGUCUGCCAUGCUAUACUAUCGUGCCGUGAUCACUUGGGAGGUGGUCACAGGUAUAUGUUUAUACAUAAUAUAUGAUACUUGUGGUGAUGAAAGCCGGGUCGACUCGUAGGAGUACCCGCGAGUGAUUCCGAUGUUGGGGGCUGAAGGGGCAGGUGGCUCCAUCCCGGUAGAGGUGGGCCUGAGUUCUCGAAGGCCCCUGACUGUUACUUUGUGGCGGAGCGACAGGGCAGGUUGAGACCACCUAGGAGAGAGGUGGGCCUGGCCCUGGUCGGCGUCCAUGGUUAUUUCAGAAUAACACGCUUAAUGAGAUCUUGGUAUUUGAUCUGAGUCUGGCUACUGGCCUAUAUGCACUAACCAUCUACGCGGGGACAGUUAUGGGCACUCGACGUCAUGGUAUCAGCCGAAGCCUUCGUGAUGUCAGCGACUGAGUGGCGCGCGCCGGAUUGGACUGGAACGCCUGAUAGGCUAGGUCUGCUUCCGGCCGCGUUCGCAACGUGCAGGUGUGCAAAGGGCGAUGGGCCCAGACCCCUGCGCCAUAGGAUUUAGACCGGCGUGCUGACCUCUCUGUUGUGCCUAGGUAGGGCUGCGACGUGUUGAUCUUCCGAGGCCGGGCAUGACCCAGGAAAGUGUGUCCGGCCAAAUGGGAUCGAGCGUGUUGGGUUAUGUGGUGCACCCAUGCAGGGAAGUUAAUCUAUUCGAAUAGCCGUGAUCUUCGGUAACAGGACGACUUGGAGUUGUACCUUGACCUUAUGACAACUAGAACCGGAUACUUAAUAAAACACACCCUUCCAAGUGCCAGAUACAACCGGUGAUCGCUCUCUUAUAGGGCGACGAGGGGAGGAUCAUCGGUUAGGAUUAUGCUAUGCAAUGCUACUUGGUGAACUUACCAUCUACUCUCUUCUCCUGCUGCAAGAUGGAGGUUACCAGAAGCGUAGUCUUCGAAAUGACUAGCUAUCCCCCUCUUAUUCCGGCAUUCUGUAGUUCAGUCCACAUAUGAUAGCCUUAUUCCAGUUGAUACCAAUGCAUACAUAUGUAGUGUAGCUCCUUGCUUGAGAGUACUUUGGAUGAGUACUCACGGUUGCUUUCUCCCUCUUUUCCCCUUUCCCUUCUACCCGAUUGCUGCGACCAGACGUUGGAGUCCAGGAGCCAGACGC
This 3203-nucleotide long non-coding RNA is filed under the name Triticum aestivum (bread wheat). RNAcentral describes it as "long non-coding RNA (TAES_LNC001281)". Lineage: Eukaryota; Viridiplantae; Streptophyta; Magnoliopsida; Poales; Poaceae. The record is from RNAcentral.